UACGGAGGGUGCAAGCGUUAUCCGGAUUUACUGGGUUUAAAGGGAGCGUAGGCGGGCUGAUAAGUCAGUGGUGAAAGCCCUCAGCUUAACUGAGGAACUGCCGUUGAUACUAUUAGUCUUGAAUGUUGUGGAGGUUUGCGGAAUAGGUCAUGUAGCGGUGAAAUGCUUAGAUAUGACCUGGAACACCUAUUGCGAAGGCAGCAGGCUACACAAAUAUUGACGCUGAGGCUCGAAAGCGUGGGGAUCAAAC
RNAcentral lists this ribosomal RNA (250 nucleotides) under uncultured bacterium. RNAcentral's name for it is "partial 16S ribosomal RNA". It matches the Rfam family "Bacterial small subunit ribosomal RNA", at positions 524 to 773 of the family's 1533-position model. The record is from RNAcentral.